Molecule: ribosomal RNA, 257 nt
Filed under: uncultured bacterium
Lineage: Bacteria
Description: partial 16S ribosomal RNA
Rfam family: Bacterial small subunit ribosomal RNA
Source: RNAcentral
GAUCCUGGCUCAGGAUGAACGCUAGCUACAGGCUUAACACAUGCAAGUCGAGGGGCAUCAGGAAGAAAGCUUGCUUUCUUUGCUGGCGACCGGCGCACAGGUNAGUAACACGGUAUCCAACCUACCCUUUACUCGGGGAUAGCCUUUCGAAAGAAAGAUUAAUACCCGAUGGCAUAAUGAUUCCGCAUGGUUUCAUUAUUAAAGGAUUCCGGUAAAGGAUGGGGAUGCGUUCCAUUAGGUUGUUGGUGAGGUAACGG